Molecule: long non-coding RNA, 1008 nt
Filed under: Oryctolagus cuniculus (rabbit)
Lineage: Eukaryota; Metazoa; Chordata; Mammalia; Lagomorpha; Leporidae
Description: lncRNA (ENSOCUG00000038230.1)
Source: RNAcentral
UGAGGCUUUUUUAGAGGAGUAUGAUCAGAAUUACAUUGAGCAUCUUUUGAAGGUGCAUAAUUAUCAAAACCUCAAUGACAUUGACAUUCAAAGAGCGCUAUACCAUAGACGCUAAACUCACAGGCAGGCAAUGAGGCAAAUUUGCCGUCUUAGUUACUCUUCGGUGGAGAGACGGCCAUGGGGAAGGUCGACAGUGUUUGCACACCUUGCCUUUUCUUCUGUUUUAUCCCAACCAUGUGACUCUUCGUAUCCCACGGGAGGGAGCUAUGCCCGCGCCCCCUCUGCUGCAUCAACUUCUUUGUGGCCUCGCUGGAGUCAGGGGCGGCAAACCUGGGGAGCAGCAGGCGAAGGUGGCUACUCAGUCUGGCCACCAGAGGGCGCUAGAAAGCGACAGCGUUCACCAGGCCAGGUCGUGGCCAUCCCUGACCCGCAGAGCUCUCUGGGUUCAGACCCCGGCUGUGCUAAGUCCAGGGGCGAAACCUACCCAGUCAUUCCGCUUGCUGCCUGCUUCCAGACUGCUCCUGUGUCACAGGCGAGUGGUCAGGACUGUCCUCCACUGGCCACAGAGCCUCCCACCUCCACUUCCUCCAAGGAAGGAGAGCAGCAUGGGAGGGCAGGCCUGAGCCCUGCUCACUGGGGAGUUCUGAGCGUCCUCACCACCACGAGACCCCCGAGACCCCCGGUACCCGUGGGGCGGCCGCGGGGUGGGGAGACUCCACCUCCACUUCCUGGAUUGGCUGGGGGAAGGUGUGGCCCCAGCUGCAGGAGGCAGAGGGGACAGUCCCAGGCAGAGCUGGAAGUCGAGGGGCAGUGGCAAAGGCAGACUGGGGCCCACCAGCCACGGGCCCCCUAGAAACAGGAGUCGGAACUUGAUUCAAGUGGCCACAAGGAACCAGAGGCAGUGUGAGGGGCAUUGACAGGGACAUGGCCAGAUGUGAGACACCGUAGCUGCAUGGGGCAGGGGGAGACAGUGAGGCACUCACCUCUGCCCCCCGGGGUGCUCCUUUG